GAUGAACGCUGGCGGCGUGCCUAAUACAUGCAAGUCGAGCGAACGGACGAGAAGCUUGCUUCUCUGAUGUUAGCGGCGGACGGGUGAGUAACACGUGGAUAACCUACCUAUAAGACUGGGAUAACUUCGGGAAACCGGGGCUAAUACCGGAUAAUAUUUUGAACCGCAUGGUUCAAAAGUGAAAGACGGUCUUGCUGUCACUUAUAGAUGGAUCCGCGCUGCAUUAGCUAGUUGGUAAGGUAACGGCUUACCAAGGCAACGAUGCAUAGCCGACCUGAGAGGGUGAUCGGCCAAACUGGAACUGAGACACGGUCCAGACCCCUACGGGAGGCAGCAGUAGGGAAUCUUCCGAAAUGGGCGAAAGCCUGACGGAGCAACGCCGCGUGAGUGAUGAAGGUCUUCGGAUCGUAAAACUCUGUUAUUAGGGAAGAACAUAUGUGUAAGUAACUGUGCACAUCUUGACGGUACCUAAGCAGAAAGCCACGGCUAACUACGU
Molecule: ribosomal RNA, 496 nt
Filed under: uncultured bacterium
Lineage: Bacteria
Description: partial 16S ribosomal RNA
Rfam family: Bacterial small subunit ribosomal RNA
Source: RNAcentral